ACGGGAGGCAGCAGUGGGGAAUAUUGGACAAUGGGGGCAACCCUGAUCCAGCGACGCCGCGUGAGUGAAGAAGUAUUUCGGUAUGUAAAGCUCUAUCAGCAGGGACGAUAAUGACGGUACCUGACUAAGAAGCCCCGGCUAACUACGUGCCAGCAGCCGCGGUAAUACGUAGGGGGCAAGCGUUAUCCGGAUUUACUGGGUGUAAAGGGAGCGUAGGCGGCGAGCCAAGUCAGAUGUGAAAGCCCGGGGCUUAACUCCGGGACUGCAUUUGAAACUGGUUUGCUAGAGUGUCGGAGAGGUAAGCGGAAUUCCUAGUGUAGCGGUGAAAUGCAUAGAUAUUAGGAAGAACACCGGUGGCGAAGGCGGCUUACUGGACGAUUACUGACGCUGAGGCUCGAAAGCGUGGGGAGCAAACAGGAUUAGAUACCCUGGUA
This 434-nucleotide ribosomal RNA is filed under the name uncultured Lachnospiraceae bacterium. RNAcentral describes it as "partial 16S ribosomal RNA". It matches the Rfam family "Bacterial small subunit ribosomal RNA", at positions 341 to 792 of the family's 1533-position model. The record is from RNAcentral. Lineage: Bacteria; Bacillati; Bacillota; Clostridia; Lachnospirales; Lachnospiraceae.